GACGAAGGGGGCUAGCGUUGUUCGGAAUUACUGGGCGUAAAGAGCGUGUAGGCGGCCAUACAGGUCCGUUGUGAAAACUGGAGGCUCAACCUCCAGACGUCGACGGAAACCGUAUGGCUAGAGUCCGGAAGAGGAGAGUGGAAUUCCUGGUGUAGCGGUGAAAUGCGCAGAUAUCAGGAAGAACACCCGUGGCGAAGGCGGCUCUCUGGGACGGUACUGACGCUGAGACGCGAAAGCGUGGGGAGCGAACAGG
Molecule: ribosomal RNA, 253 nt
Filed under: uncultured bacterium
Lineage: Bacteria
Description: partial 16S ribosomal RNA
Rfam family: Bacterial small subunit ribosomal RNA
Source: RNAcentral